CUAAUCAGAAUCCAUGCCAGAACGCGGUGAUACCACCCGCACGAGGUUACAGAUGGACAAGAAUAGGCUUCGGCUUUGGUGUCUCAGCAGGCGAUUCCUCCACGGCCACGGAAGAGUGGUCUUGGUAUUUCGCGUAUUGUAAUUUCAACACGAGCGGGGUCAAAUCCUUUGCAGACGACUUAGCUGUGCGAAACGGUCCUGUAAGCAGUAGAGUAGCCUUGUUGUUACGAUCUGCUGAGGGUAAGCCGUCCUUCGCCUCGAUUUCCCCAGU
Molecule: ribosomal RNA, 271 nt
Filed under: Cordyceps farinosa
Lineage: Eukaryota; Fungi; Ascomycota; Sordariomycetes; Hypocreales; Cordycipitaceae
Description: partial 28S ribosomal RNA
Rfam family: Eukaryotic large subunit ribosomal RNA
Source: RNAcentral